This 87-nucleotide non-coding RNA is filed under the name Heterosigma akashiwo. Lineage: Eukaryota; Raphidophyceae; Chattonellales; Chattonellaceae. The record is from RNAcentral.
GACUCAGUCAUAAUUAAUAGUCUAUCACAUAAUAGUACUGCUAGUUGGUCCAGACGAUGAUCUUGAAGUGUUCGACGUCUUUUUUCA